RNAcentral lists this ribosomal RNA (524 nucleotides) under uncultured bacterium. RNAcentral describes it as "partial 16S ribosomal RNA". It matches the Rfam family "Bacterial small subunit ribosomal RNA", at positions 28 to 523 of the family's 1533-position model. The record is from RNAcentral.
GACGAACGCUGGCGGCGUGCCUAAUACAUGCAAGUCGAACGAAGCUGUUUUAACUGGUGCUUGCACCGACUUAAACAACCGAGUGGCGAACGGGUGAGUAACCCGUGGGUAACCUGCCCCAAAGAGGGGGAUAACAUUUGGAAACAGAGGCUAAUACCGCAUAACCACAGAAACCACAUGGUUUCUGUGUCAAAGAUUGUUUCGGCUAUCACUUUGGGAUGGACCCGCGGCGUAUUAGCCAGUUGAGAAGGUAAUGGCUUACCAAGGCAAUGAUACGUAGCCGAACUGAGAGGUUGAUCGGCCACAUUGUGACGUGAACACGGCCCAAACUCCUACGGGAGGCAGCAGUAGGGAAUCUUCCACAAUGGACGAAAGUCUGAUGGAGCAACGCCGCGUGAGUGAAGAAGGUUUUCGGAUCGUAAAACUCUGUUGUCAGAGAAGAACGUGUGCGAGAGUAACUGCUCGUGCAGUGACGGUAUCUGGCCAGAAAGCCACGGCUAACUACGUGCCAGCAGCCGCCGUAA